UAGCCUGUGACGCAGUGGUUAGCGUGUCGUUCUUAUAUUGUAUGCCCCUGGUGGCAUCCGGUAUGACUUCUUUCGAGGAAUGCGAAAGUCGCGAGUUCAAGUCUCGCCAGGAUCA
Molecule: transfer RNA, 115 nt
Filed under: Fonsecaea pedrosoi CBS 271.37
Lineage: Eukaryota; Fungi; Ascomycota; Eurotiomycetes; Chaetothyriales; Herpotrichiellaceae
Rfam family: tRNA
About the family: Transfer RNA (tRNA) molecules are approximately 80 nucleotides in length.
Source: Rfam by way of RNAcentral